CGAAGGAAGAAAUUCAUUCGCGUUUCGUAGUUAGCGGAGAAAGGAAUUGUAGUGACGAAAAUUGUUUACGCAAUUUUUGCACCGUCUUUUCUACGAACUGAUUACGAACGUGUGCACUUUUCUUCUGGUAGGACGUUGCGAUCCGUUGGGUGUCGGUUUAAGGUACAUGGUGGAGUCCGUUUUACCUAUGUUGUUAAAUGGACCCAUGUUAUCCCGACCGGCUCACUCGACGGUAUACGAAAGGUUUAAGGCCGCUUAUUUUAAAAGCGUUCGACUCGUAGCAAGCGCAUUAGUAUAAUUCAUAUUGUCGAAGUUCGGACCUAGUGCCGAACCCGACAGCUAAUGAUUGCUUUGUUAUGAAGAUUCUCGAACCGACCUUGUUAACCGAUCGGCAACGAUAUAGAUUUGGGUACUUUCAGGACCCGUCUUGAAACACGGACCAAGGAGUCCAGCAUAUACGCAAGUCAUUGGGACUUAAAACGAAACCUAAAGGCAUAAUGAAAGUAAAAAUUCUCCUUGUGAGAAUUAAGGGAAGACAAGUGGUUAGCCGUUAAAAGCGGCCACUUUGCAUUCCUGGGGCGUCUCAUUUUCAGUAUAUUUCUCAUUUGGGUUAUAUGCGAAAAGAGGCGCACCAAGAGCGUAUACGCUGGGACCCGAAAGAUGGUGAACUAU
RNAcentral lists this ribosomal RNA (672 nucleotides) under Hypothenemus sp. He54. RNAcentral describes it as "LSU rRNA". It matches the Rfam family "Eukaryotic large subunit ribosomal RNA", at positions 439 to 834 of the family's 3401-position model. Lineage: Eukaryota; Metazoa; Arthropoda; Insecta; Coleoptera; Curculionidae. RNAcentral also lists the same sequence under 1 other name. The record is from RNAcentral.